This 253-nucleotide ribosomal RNA is filed under the name uncultured bacterium. Its description in RNAcentral is "partial 16S ribosomal RNA". It matches the Rfam family "Bacterial small subunit ribosomal RNA", at positions 524 to 776 of the family's 1533-position model. The record is from RNAcentral.
UACAUGUGGGGCAAGCGUUGUUCGGAAUUACUGGGCGUAAAGGGCGCGUAGGCGGCCGUUUGCGUCGGAUGUGAAAGCCCGGGGCUCAACCUCGGAACGGCAUUCGAUACGGGACGGCUGGAGACCGGGAGAGGAGAGUGGAAUAGCCAGUGUAGAGGUGAAAUUCGUAGAUAUUGGCUGGAACACCGGUGGCGAAAGCGGCUCUCUGGCCCGGUUCUGACGCUGAGGCGCGAAAGCGUGGGGAGCAAACAGG